This 484-nucleotide ribosomal RNA is filed under the name uncultured bacterium. RNAcentral describes it as "partial 16S ribosomal RNA". It matches the Rfam family "Bacterial small subunit ribosomal RNA", at positions 30 to 507 of the family's 1533-position model. The record is from RNAcentral.
AUUGAACGCUGGCGGCAGGCCUAACACAUGCAAGUCGAGCGGAUGAAGGGAGCUUGCUCCUGGAUUCAGCGGCGGACGGGUGAGUAAUGCCUAGGAAUCUGCCUGGUAGUGGGGGAUAACGUCCGGAAACGGGCGCUAAUACCGCAUACGUCCUGAGGGAGAAAGUGGGGGAUCUUCGGACCUCACGCUAUCAGAUGAGCCUAGGUCGGAUUAGCUAGUUGGUGGGGUAAAGGCCUACCAAGGCGACGAUCCGUAACUGGUCUGAGAGGAUGAUCAGUCACACUGGAACUGAGACACGGUCCAGACUCCUACGAGAGGCAGCAGUGGGGAAUAUUGGACAAUAGGCGAAAGCCUGAUCCAGCCAUGCCGCGUGUGUGAAGAAGGUCUUCGGAUUGUAAAGCACUUUAAGUUGGGAGGAAGGGCAGUAAGUUAAUACCUUGCUGUUUUGACGUUACCAACAGAAUAAGCACCGGCUAACUUCGUG